GAAAUGCCUCCAUGAGAUCCAGUUGUAAGGCAUUUUCUCAAUUAGUGAUCAAUGAAGGGGCAGCCCAUUGUGGCUGGGGCCAUCCCUGGGCUGGUGAUCCUG
Molecule: microRNA precursor, 102 nt
Filed under: Mesocricetus auratus (golden hamster)
Lineage: Eukaryota; Metazoa; Chordata; Mammalia; Rodentia; Cricetidae
Description: miRNA (ENSMAUG00000001718.1)
Source: RNAcentral